UGGCAAAAGAACAUGUUUUUAUUCUGCUAUUCACAGUGCUUUUUCCUCUCAGCCAGGGACCCUGACCAGACCAUACGCCUUCCCCUAUGAACAGCCUGCGGCUCACAGCGACCUGUCAGCAGGUCUGAGGUGAGCCUCGCACAAAGGGCUUCUGCACAGAAAGGCCCAGGACUCACUGCGACUGACCCCUGAGUGAAAGAGAGAAUACAAGCCAAAAGGAGAGACUGGCAGGCAAACGGCUCACAAAACCUCUCCGCCAGCUACUUCCUCAGAUCCCAGCUGGACUGCAGCCCACAAGCAUGUACAGGCUGGUCUGAAGGUGCGAAGCUCUUUCCUUUGUCUUCCUUUUACCAGCGAGAUGCGGUACAAAUCAAUCAAAAGUAUGCCUGCAGCACUUGAUGUCACCCAGGACCUCUCCAAAAAAGAUUCCUUAAUAUUCUUCUGGGAGACUGAGCUACUGAGUCCUAUUAACCUAAACAGAAAACAAAUACCAAUACACAGUAAGUCUGCAGCUGCUUCAAGACAAUGAUUUUGAUGACGAAGAAGACAAAAACUGUGGUAAAAACUGAAAAUGGUCAGUGAACAUCUGAAAAACAGUGUGGAAAACGUUGACCUUAAUGAAUGUUUGCUCCACUCAGUAAAAUUGUCCAAAUGAAAUACUGACAGCUUUAUUACCUAGUGCAUUGUAAUAAACUAAAAUUCAAUAUUCCGGUUCCACUACAGCUAUUAUUUUGGAGCG
Molecule: long non-coding RNA, 739 nt
Filed under: Gallus gallus (chicken)
Lineage: Eukaryota; Metazoa; Chordata; Aves; Galliformes; Phasianidae
Source: RNAcentral